UACGGAGGAUGCGAGCGUUAUCCGGAUUUAUUGGGUUUAAAGGGUGCGUAGGCGGGCUUUUAAGUCAGCGGUAAAAAUUCGGGGCUCAACCCCGUCCGGCCGUUGAAACUGGGGGUCUUGAGUGGGCGAGAAGAAGGCGGAAUGCGUGGUGUAGCGGUGAAAUGCAUAGAUAUCACGCAGAACCCCGAUUGGGAAGGCAGCCUUCCGGCGCCCUACUGACGCUGAGGCACGAAAGUGCGGGGAUCGAACAGG
Molecule: ribosomal RNA, 252 nt
Filed under: uncultured bacterium
Lineage: Bacteria
Description: partial 16S ribosomal RNA
Rfam family: Bacterial small subunit ribosomal RNA
Source: RNAcentral